This 694-nucleotide ribosomal RNA is filed under the name Minervarya pierrei (Pierre's cricket frog). Its description in RNAcentral is "partial large subunit ribosomal RNA". It matches the Rfam family "Bacterial large subunit ribosomal RNA", at positions 1496 to 2498 of the family's 2925-position model. Lineage: Eukaryota; Metazoa; Chordata; Amphibia; Anura; Dicroglossidae. The record is from RNAcentral.
CAAUGUUAAAACUAGUAACAUGAAGCAGCCCUUCUCCCUAAUGCAAGCAAAUACCAAAAUGGACUAACCAUUGGUUCUUAACGUCCAUGAGCUCAACCUAGCAACACUCCCUUCGAAAACCCUAUGCCCAAAUUACGUUAACCUUACACUAGAGCAUUCCUGGAAAGAUAAAAAGAAAAAGAAGGAACUCGGCAAACUAAAAUCCCGCCUGUUUACCAAAAACAUCGCCUCUUGACACAUACUCCCUCCUAUAAGAGGUCCAGCCUGCCCAGUGAAAUUUUAACGGCCGCGGUACUCUGACCGUGCGAAGGUAGCAUAAUCACUUGUUCUUUAAAUGAGGACUAGUAUCAACGGCAUCACGAGGAUUUUACUGUCUCCUUUUUCCUAUCGGUGAAACUGAUCUCCCCGUGAAGAAGCGGGGAUAAUAUUAUAAGACGAGAAGACCCCAUGGAGCUUUAAACCCAGUAACACCUCAAACACACCCCCUCCCAAAAAGUUUUAAUGUUCUGUUCACUGGUUUUAGGUUGGGGCGACCGCGGAGUACAACUUAACCUCCACAGCGCACGGAACUUAUUCCUUACCUGAGAGCUACACCUCAAAGAAUUAUCACAUUAACGUAAAAUGAUCCAAUAUUUUCCUUAUUGAUUAAUGAACCAAGUUACCCUGGGGAUAACAGCGCAAUCCAUUUCUAGAG